GAUGAAGAACGCAGCGAAAUGCGAUAAGUAGUGUGAAUUGCAGAAUUCAGUGAAUCAUCGAAUCUUUGAACGCACAUUGCGCCCUUUGGUAUUCCAAAGGGCAUGCCUGUUCGAGCGUCAUUUGUACCCUCAAGCUUUGCUUGGUGUUGGGCGUCUUGUCUCUAGCUUUGCUGGAGACUCGCCUUAAAGUAAUUGGCAGCCGGCCUACUGGUUUCGGAGCGCAGCACAAGUCGCACUCUCUAUCAGCAAAGGUCUAGCAUCCAUUAAGCCUUUUUGUCAACUUUUGACCUCGGAUCAGGUAGGGAUACCCGCUGAACUUAAGCAUAUCAAUAAGCGGAGGA
Molecule: unclassified non-coding RNA, 341 nt
Filed under: soil metagenome
Description: partial contains 5.8S ribosomal RNA, internal transcribed spacer 2, and large subunit ribosomal RNA
Rfam family: 5.8S ribosomal RNA (bases 1-120)
Source: RNAcentral